Molecule: non-coding RNA, 857 nt
Organism: Pelobates cultripes (western spadefoot toad)
Lineage: Eukaryota; Metazoa; Chordata; Amphibia; Anura; Pelobatidae
Source: the annotation of a GenBank genome assembly
CCGGAAAAUUUUGUUGAAUUGGAAGCGAGAGAGCGACGAGCCGUCCGCAUGCACCAAGAGCGACCCGUCAACCGCCAGCCUCUGCUCCAAGUAUUGCGUUACCGCAGCCACUGGACACAAAGUGGAACCCGGUAGGCCCGUCCCGACCUGUCCCAUGGACGUCCGUCUUGGACCUGGCCAAGUGCACCACCAACUUCCCCCCGAGUGUGCGAACCCCCGAUGCCUGUAUGCCCCCCGAUGACAACCGCGUGGCGCUUACCAAUUCCCCAAUCCUAAAGGCCCUGAAAAAGGCCAGAAGGAAUGCCGCCCUGAACAGAGACACCUCAAACCCAUUGAAGCAGAUUUCUGGUAAGGUUUGGACUAGGCCCCCCAGCACCCGUACCGACACUGGGCGUCUAGCAUCCGGAACCCUUCGGCCCCUCCGAUAGCCCUUUAGAGCCUGCCUGAUAACAAAAGCCUCGGUAAGGUCUUCCCCCCCCGUGGAGCUUGAACCAAAAGGCCAUUGCUGCCAUGGUCCUGCCCACCACUGCUGGAGACGCGCCGCCCGCCAGCAAGUGGAAGGUGAACCACAGGAAGGCAUCCAGCGGCGGCUCCCCCGUUGCUCGCCUACCCAGCCCUUCCCAGGAACGCUCCCAUGCACCCCAGACCUUAUUGUAGGCGGCCCAGGUGGCCGGCGAGAGCGAAGCCUUCACGAGUCCUCCAAGCAGGACGCUCCUAACUGCCACAUCUCGUUCGGGCACGCCUGGCCCACGUCCUGCGCCUCCGGGGCCACCGUCCGAAAUCUGGACCACUGAAAAUGAGACAGAGCAUCAGCCACCUCGUUCAAGUACCCCGGCACAUGGCGCGUGCGAAAGACC